This 2139-nucleotide long non-coding RNA is filed under the name Amborella trichopoda. RNAcentral's name for it is "long non-coding RNA (ATRI_LNC004109)". The record is from RNAcentral. Lineage: Eukaryota; Viridiplantae; Streptophyta; Magnoliopsida; Amborellales; Amborellaceae.
UCCCAUCAAGCCGAAACAUAGGCAUGUUCUGCAUCGACUGAACAUAAUGGCCUCUUUGUGACCCGUGGUACCAAUAUUUUCCAUAAUGGGGAACAAUGAACUUGCACACAUCGUUAAUCGUGGUGCAACAAUCCCACACAGUCUUCACACUAUUCUAGUGUCAAUUUGCUUGUAAAUGAUAAGGGGCAGUGUUAGUUCAUCCCGUGCUGCCAUAUGCAUUGGUGAGGACUGUAUAAUUCGAUCAUCUUCUUGAUGCCAACUCGGUGGGAGUGUGGCGCCAUGAACACUUAGGAGAUACAUUAUCUCCCGAUUGCUGGUUGGGUCAUUGUCAACCUGAGAUCCAUACUCAUCUUUGAAAAGACGGUCAGUUGGGCCCCCAAUGGGAAAUGGCUUGCCCUGAAAAAAAGUUUAUCACCUUGGAAAAGCUUCCUCGCAAUAUUAUCGGAUUGAAAAACAACCUUGUGUCCCAACAAGUGCAGUAAAAUUUGGAAGGUACUGCAAUCGAUGUCGCUUGCUAGAUGGUAGGUGCUUGGAAGUAGGCACCCAGCCACCUAUAAACAUAAUGGAGAGGGAAAACCCAUGCGAGCAUGUCCCAAACUCUUUGAAGUGUUAGUCGCCACAUUGAGCCCAUUAUAGAUACUGCAUAAGACGGGUUGGGCUUAUGGCCUUGGCCAAAUCACAAGCCAUAUAAAGGUACUCGGUCCUAACUUCAGGACCCAAUAUAGGACGUCGAGUAGAUGGUAUCAAUUAGGUCUGUGGGACGGGGAGGCAUCUCAACCUUAAGGACAGGGGGCUUGUUACUUGAAAUUAAAAUAGGGUUGCCUGGUUCCCCUAUAGCCCUGUCUGAAUCGAAGAAAUGGGUGAUCCACACUUUAGGGCCUCCUUAAAGAGAAGCCAACUUCCAAAACUCCUUGAAUGGCCUUCUCAAGGCUGUCGGCUUUCGAAGGCCGGGAUAAACUUUAUCCUCAAGUAUGAUGUCAUUAUCUGGGAUAAACUCCUCAUAACGAUCUCCAAGAAGGGAAAGAUCGUCAAUGAAAUGAAGAUCCAAGAGAGACAUGACGGCCUCCCCAUGGUCAAAGAAGUUGGUGUUUUUCGCUCAACACUAGGUCUCCAAGUAUGCCCUCACCACGUUAGUGUAACGAUCAUAUGACCAGGUCAAACAUUCGCAGGCGCCUAAGAGUUCUGUGCUUAUGAGAUCAUUUUAGAAGCUGCUCUCUUCCUCACAUCUAAACUUGAGGGAUCCUGUCAGGUAGUACGCUUGGCAAUUUGAUGUGCAAGUAUAGGAAAUAUUCUAUUUCCAACGACAAUUUUAUGCUCAUAAUGGAGAAGGAGGCUUUAUGGAGGAAGACCCCUAUGAUAAUCCUUGCUAAACUUGCCAAGGCCAAGAGGCUCGAUCAAAUAAUUGAUAGAAAGGGGCCAUCUUAGAUAUUCAUUGACAUUGCCGUUAGCUUGGCAUACGGGUCUAUGACGAGCUAAUUCCACCCCGGUGCACUUUUCCCACCAGUCCUCUACUCCUUCAAGAAUUUCUUGGGACACAUGACAUCUAAAAUAGGAGAAAAGAGUUUCAUUUAAUCGAAACUUAUCUGCAUGUCAUUCAUAUUGGUCUAAGGCUCUGACCAACUACCGAUGCCUGUCAUGGCUUAAGUCGAAAGUCUGACCUUACAUUUCUCAUAUAUUGGGUUAAGAAUCUGACCGAUCAUUGAUGUUUGUCACAGUCACACACACACACACACACACACACGCUCACACACACAUACUCGCACUCACACUCACAUUCACACACACUCACACUCACACUCACAGAUAUAUAAGCUAUCACCUCUAAUCUGAUAAGUCUAGACAAAAUUCCAUAUUACUAUGUAUAGAAUUAAUUAGGCACAAGAUUGUGUUUCGUCUCUUGAUGAGUUUGGGUAUGAAAGCAAACUCACAUCAUACUCACAUCAUACUCACAUCAUACUCACACUCACACUCACACUCACACGCACAUAUACGCACACACACACACACACUCACACUCAUACUCACACUCACACUCACACUCACACUCACACUCACUCACACUCACACUCACACUCACAGUUAUAUAUAGUAUCACCUCUAAUCUGAUAAGCCUAUGCAAAAUUCCAUAUUACUUUGUAU